CGCGUAGGCGGCUUGACAAGUCAAAGGUGAAAUCCCUCGGCUCAACUGAGGAACUGCCUUUGAAACUGUCUGGCUUGAGGCCGGGAGGGGGUAGCGGAAUUCCCAGUGUAGCGGUGAAAUGCGUAGAUAUUGGGAGGAACACCAGUGGCGAAGGCGGCUACCUGGACCGGUUCUGACGCUGAUGCGCGAAAGCGUGGGUAGCAAACAGGAUUAGAUACCCUGGUAGUCCACGCUGUAAACGAUGGGUGCUCGGUGUCGCGGGUAUCGACCCCUGCGGUGCCUUAGCUAACGCGUUAAGCACCCCGCCUGGGGAGUACGGUCGCAAGGCUGAA
RNAcentral lists this ribosomal RNA (332 nucleotides) under uncultured Acidobacteriota bacterium. RNAcentral describes it as "bacterial SSU rRNA". It matches the Rfam family "Bacterial small subunit ribosomal RNA", at positions 568 to 898 of the family's 1533-position model. Lineage: Bacteria; Pseudomonadati; Acidobacteriota. The record is from RNAcentral.